Myotis lucifugus (little brown bat) is the source of this 103-nucleotide small nuclear RNA. The record is from Ensembl. Lineage: Eukaryota; Metazoa; Chordata; Mammalia; Chiroptera; Vespertilionidae.
GUGCUCACUUCAGCAGCACAUACACUAAAACUGGAAUGACACAGAGAUUAGAAUGUCCCUGCACAAGGAUGACAUGGAAAUCCAUGAGGCAUUCCAUCAUUUU